CGGGGCGUAGCGCAGCCUGGUAGCGCGACGGCUUUGGGCCGUAGGUCGUGAGUUCGAAUCUCGCCGCCCCGACCA
This 75-nucleotide transfer RNA is filed under the name Paracoccaceae bacterium. Its description in RNAcentral is "Rhodobacteraceae bacterium (microbial mat metagenome) tRNA-Gln". It matches the Rfam family "tRNA". Rfam says of the family: Transfer RNA (tRNA) molecules are approximately 80 nucleotides in length. Their secondary structure includes four short double-helical elements and three loops (D, anti-codon, and T loops). Further hydrogen bonds mediate the characteristic L-shaped molecular structure. tRNAs have two regions of fundamental functional importance: the anti-codon, which is responsible for specific mRNA codon recognition, and the 3' end, to which the tRNAs corresponding amino acid is attached (by aminoacyl-tRNA synthetases). tRNAs cope with the degeneracy of the genetic code in two manners: having more than one tRNA (with a specific anti-codon) for a particular amino acid; and 'wobble' base-pairing, i.e. permitting non-standard base-pairing at the 3rd anti-codon position. The record is from RNAcentral. Lineage: Bacteria; Pseudomonadati; Pseudomonadota; Alphaproteobacteria; Rhodobacterales; Paracoccaceae.